This 268-nucleotide ribosomal RNA is filed under the name uncultured bacterium. RNAcentral's name for it is "partial 16S ribosomal RNA". It matches the Rfam family "Bacterial small subunit ribosomal RNA", at positions 524 to 791 of the family's 1533-position model. The record is from RNAcentral.
UACGUAGGGGGCAAGCGUUGUCCGGAAUCAUUGGGCGUAAAGCGCGUGUAGGCGGUUCGGUAAGUCCGCUGUGAAAGUCCAGGGCUCAACCCUGGGAUGCCGGUGGAUACUGUCGGACUAGAGUACGGAAGAGGCGAGUGGAAUUCCCGGUGUAGCGGUGAAAUGCGCAGAUAUCGGGAGGAACACCAAUUGCGAAGGCAGCUCGCUGGGACGUCACUGACGCUGAGACGCGAAAGCGUGGGGAGCAAACAGGAUUAGAAACCCGGUU